UAUCCCAAAGGAAUCCGAUGAAGCUGUCGUUGUGGUACAAGAAUUUUCGGGUGUGAAGCCAGAAUUAUUAGGCUGAAGGAACUGAAGAGAGUUAUUAGGUACAACUGUCCCUGGCAUCAUCUUGACUUGAUCCGUACUUGAACCAAUAUUAUUCGUGCUGUAGGUGUUGGCGGAGACAGAGGCGGUGGAGCUUCGUGCAGAGGUGACCGAGGCGGUGGAGCUUCGUGCAGAGGUGACCGAGGCAGCCUCAAUUCUUUCAACUAACCUUGGCAUCCAAAGAUAAUGCACAGCAUCCUUGAAUUGCUUGCUGUUCACGUCACACUUGAGCUGUUUCGCAUGCUUCUGGACCCGUGUU
Molecule: long non-coding RNA, 355 nt
Filed under: Daucus carota (carrot)
Lineage: Eukaryota; Viridiplantae; Streptophyta; Magnoliopsida; Apiales; Apiaceae
Description: long non-coding RNA (DCAR_LNC005853)
Source: RNAcentral